Molecule: ribosomal RNA, 254 nt
Filed under: uncultured bacterium
Lineage: Bacteria
Description: partial 16S ribosomal RNA
Rfam family: Bacterial small subunit ribosomal RNA
Source: RNAcentral
UACAGAGGGUGCGAGCGUUGUUCGGAUUUACUGGGCGUAAAGGGCGCGUAGGCGGUCAGCACAAGUCAGUUGUGAAAUCUCCGGGCUUAACUCGGAAAGGUCAACUGAUACUGUGCGACUAGAGUGCAGAAGGGGCAACUGGAAUUCUCGGUGUAGCGGUGAAAUGCGUAGAUAUCGAGAGGAACACCUGCGGCGAAGGCGGGUUGCUGGGCUGACACUGACGCUGAUGCGCGAAAGCCAGGGGAGCGAACGGG